This 833-nucleotide long non-coding RNA is filed under the name Mytilus galloprovincialis (Mediterranean mussel). Lineage: Eukaryota; Metazoa; Mollusca; Bivalvia; Mytilida; Mytilidae. The record is from RNAcentral.
AACAAGCCAAAGUUUUAAGCAAGACUAACGUUUUUAGCGUUUUUUGCGUCACCGUUGGAUUUGUGGGAAGUUGGAUUGUUGGAUGUUGGAACGUAGGAAAUUCCCGCGGAAGUUAGAUUUAAAGAAAAUAAUUAUUUAUAAAAAUAAUUCGUAAAUUCAAAUAAAAUAUAUUUCUCAUCUUUAUUUUUAUUAUAAGAGCUUCUACUGUUGUUAUUUAAUUCAAUUCUCCUUGGCAACAAUAAAUAAAGUUACAACUGCGCCACUGGAAGUUAGCGGCCUGUCUGUGAGAACAAAACAUGUGUGUGUUAACGGCUGACAAAAUUACAGAAUUCGCCGCUAAAACAACUUGACAGCUUAUAAAAACUAUGUGAAUACUUUAUAUACAACUCAUGGAUAUACGAAAUGCCGGUGAGUACAACUGUGAAAGCGUUAAAUUAAAAAUCGAACUAAUAAUCAUCAACGAUUAGCUUGACAUGUUAUAACUACUGCGCAUGAGCAGGAAUUUACACAUUCAUUCAUAAAGAUGAACACUCAGAACAGGUGCUCGUGAUAUUUACAUUUCAUAGUUUACAAUGGAAAACUUCAUAUAGCAACGAUUCAAUCAACAGGACUGAUAUCAGGAAUAACAUUUCUUCAUACAACAACUACAGUUUAUUUACAACACGCAUAAAAAUGGCGUUUUCUAACAGUAACUCUAUGUGGAUUGACAUGAGCACAUGUUUACAAAUGCAAAUUAAUUUUGGAACGAGGCACUGGCAGCAGACGACACUUUAGCCUUAGAUAACAACACGAAGAAGGAAAAACGUUUCAACAAUUUCAAAUGAAUUAACAUG